RNAcentral lists this ribosomal RNA (253 nucleotides) under uncultured bacterium. Its description in RNAcentral is "partial 16S ribosomal RNA". It matches the Rfam family "Bacterial small subunit ribosomal RNA", at positions 524 to 776 of the family's 1533-position model. The record is from RNAcentral.
UACGUAGGGUGCAAGCGUUAAUCGGAAUUACUGGGCUUAAAGGGUGCGUAGGCGGCGCGGAAAGUUGGGUGUGAAAUCCCUCGGCUCAACCGAGGAAUUGCGCUCAAAACUACCGUGCUCGAGGGAGAUAGAGGAGCGCGGAACUUAGGGUGGAGCGGUGAAAUGCGUUGAUAUCCUAGGGAACACCGGUGGCGAAAGCGGCGCUCUGGAUCUCAUCUGACGCUGAUGCACGAAAGCUAGGGUAGCGAACGGG